Molecule: ribosomal RNA, 250 nt
Filed under: uncultured bacterium
Lineage: Bacteria
Description: partial 16S ribosomal RNA
Rfam family: Bacterial small subunit ribosomal RNA
Source: RNAcentral
UACGUAGGGGGCAAGCGUUGUCCGGAGUUACUGGGCGUAAAGGGCGUGUAGGCGGGUGCCCGCAUUUGCAGUGACAGUGCUCGGCUUAACUGAGCAAGGUCUGACAACGAUGGGGCAUCUGGAGGACCAGAGAGGGACAUAGAAUUCCGGGUGGAGUGGUGAAAUGCGUAGAUAUCCGGAGGAAUACCAAAGGCGAAGGCAGUGUCCUGGCUGGAACCUGACGCUGAGGCGCGAAAGCUAGGGGAGCGAA